UACGAAGGGGGCUAGCGUUGCUCGGAAUCACUGGGCGUAAAGGGCGCGUAGGCGGCCAUUCAAGUCGGGGGUGAAAGCCUGUGGCUCAACCACAGAAUUGCCUUCGAUACUGUUUGGCUUGAGACCGGAAGAGGUAAGUGGAACUGCGAGUGUAGAGGUGAAAUUCGUAGAUAUUCGCAAGAACACCAGUGGCGAAGGCGGCUCUCUGGGACGGUACUGACGCUGAGACGCGAAAGUGUGGGGAGCGAACAGG
Molecule: ribosomal RNA, 253 nt
Filed under: uncultured bacterium
Lineage: Bacteria
Description: partial 16S ribosomal RNA
Rfam family: Bacterial small subunit ribosomal RNA
Source: RNAcentral